UUUUUUGCUUUGAUAAGGAAUAGUAAUCAGAAAAGUGAUCGAUAGAGAGCUGACGGUUGGUGCAAGUCGGCGGCGCAAUUUUGAUGAACUCACCUUAGAGCUCGCAUUGGUGAACAAUAGUAACUAAUUGCCGUUUUCCGCGUUAAGGAUUCAAGCUGGGCGACUUUGUCGUCAAUUUGGGUGGCACCGCGGGAAAAUGCAUUUCAUGAUCUCGUCCCUAUU
This 222-nucleotide non-coding RNA is filed under the name Sporosarcina sp. RNAcentral's name for it is "T-box sequence". It matches the Rfam family "T-box leader". From Rfam's summary of the family: Uncharged tRNA acts as the effector for transcription antitermination of genes in the T-box leader family. T-boxes are found upstream of many aminoacyl-tRNA synthetase genes and some amino acid biosynthetic genes usually in Gram-positive bacteria. Lineage: Bacteria; Bacillati; Bacillota; Bacilli; Caryophanales; Caryophanaceae. The record is from RNAcentral.